Solanum stenotomum is the source of this 117-nucleotide long non-coding RNA. RefSeq lists it as uncharacterized. The transcript has 2 exons. The record is from RefSeq and is a predicted model, not a curated record. NCBI's taxonomy places the organism in Eukaryota, Viridiplantae, Streptophyta, Magnoliopsida, Solanales, Solanaceae.
GUUCAUCUCCUUAAGCACCUCUUGGAACAUCCGUCCCCUGUAAGCAACAAGGUCUGCAUAGUAAACUGGUGGAACAAGUGAAACAGGUUUAGUGCACCGCGCAAAAGUGAAGCACAA